Molecule: ribosomal RNA, 253 nt
Filed under: uncultured bacterium
Lineage: Bacteria
Description: partial 16S ribosomal RNA
Rfam family: Bacterial small subunit ribosomal RNA
Source: RNAcentral
UACGGAGGGUGCGAGCGUUGUCCGGAAUCACUGGGCGUAAAGGGCGCGUAGGCGGCGCGGGAAGUCAUCGGUGAAAGCUCAGGGCUCAACUCUGAGUCGGCCGGUGAUACUCUCGUGCUUGAGCACUGUAGAGGCAGGUGGAAUUCCGGGUGCAGCGGUGGAAUGCGUAGAGAUGUGGAGGAAUACCGAUGGCGAAGGCAGCCUCCUGGGCCAACACUGACGCUCAUGCACGAAAGCGUGGGGAGCAAACAGG